Coturnix japonica (Japanese quail) is the source of this 764-nucleotide long non-coding RNA. RefSeq lists it as uncharacterized. Lineage: Eukaryota; Metazoa; Chordata; Aves; Galliformes; Phasianidae. The record is from RefSeq and is a predicted model, not a curated record.
GGGCAGUUCCAAUUACCGCGGAGAAUUUUCUGAAUUAGCGGGGUUACACAAAGGACACUCAUUGAGGGGGAAGGAAAAAAGGGCAGCGAGCGCGAGAGGGAACGCCCAGCCGGAGCCUGCUGGUGAUUUAAAGCAGGAAACUCCCUCGCCUCACACAGACACGGCCGCAUUCAGGACCAGCCAGCAUCUAAAUAGGAGGAAUGUCUGGCACACAUUACGUUAAUCCGAGCGCUGCAGCCAUCGGCAGCGCUCUCUGCCCCCACCGGGGCGCACGAUGAAUCGCUUCAAAAUAGAGAUGAAUGGCACAUAAGGAACGGCUUCUGCCUUACGUGCAACACUAAAGCCCUCACCUGCCCAGCCCUCACCUGCCCGUAUAUCCGUACAGCACACAGGUCAAGCUGUGAGCGCUGUGCUUCAGCUUUCUUUUUGCACCCCGAAGACACGCACGUGGCCACGCGAGGCAGCAGGAAACACCAUGAGGCACAACCGGAAGGACUGCGGGGCUGCUUGCCACGGCCACACCAAUCCCAACUUCUGGGCAGGAAACGUAUGCCAUGGCAAAGCACUGAAGAUGACUCAAAUCGCCUCUCCCCCACCCUCCGGUGCCACGGAACAACAGCCCUCUUCAGCCAGGGGAGCGGGACCACGUGGAGGGAUGACUCAAAGCUCUGGGGUAGGGGAAAAACCCACAGUGCAGAACACACAGCACCCCAUCCCAAGAGGCGCACCACCACUUGAUGUUAUAUUAAUUAAACACACAACAA